This 301-nucleotide ribosomal RNA is filed under the name uncultured bacterium. RNAcentral's name for it is "partial 16S ribosomal RNA". It matches the Rfam family "Bacterial small subunit ribosomal RNA", at positions 510 to 808 of the family's 1533-position model. The record is from RNAcentral.
AGUAGCCACGGGAAUACAGAGGGUGCGAGCGUUAAUCGGAUUUACUGGGCGUAAAGCGUGCGUAGGCGGCUUCUUAAGUCGGAUGUGAAAUCCCUGAGCUUAACUUAGGAAUUGCAUUCGAUACUGGGAAGCUAGAGUAUGAGAGAGGAUGGUAGAAUUCCAGGUGUAGCGGUGAAAUGCGUAGAGAUCUGGAGGAAUACCGAUGGCGAAGGCAGCCAUCUGGCCUAAUACUGACGCUGAGGUACGAAAGCAUGGGGAGCAAACAGGAUUAGAUACCCCAGUAGUCCCUGUCUCUUAUACA